GUGACUGCGUACCUUUUGUAUAAUGGGUCAGCGACUUAUAUUCUGUAGCAAGGUUAACCGAAUAGGGGAGCCGGAGGGAAACCGAGUCUUAAUUGGGCGUUAAGUUGCAGGGUAUAGACCCGAAACCCGGUGAUCUAGCCAUGGGCAGGUUGAAGGUUGGGUAACACUAACUGGAGGACCGAACCGACUAAUGUUGAAAAAUUAGCGGAUGACCUGUGGCUGGGGGUGAAAGGCCAAUCAAACCGGGAGAUAGCUGGUUCUCCCCGAAAGCUAUUUAGGUAGCGCCUCGUGAAUUCAUCUCCGGGGGUAGAGCACUGUUUCGGCUAGGGGGCCAUCCCGGCUUACCAACCCGAUGCAAACUGCGAAUACCGGAGAAUGUUAUCACGGGAGACACACGGCGGGUGCUAACGUCCGUCGUGAAGAGGGAAACAACCCAGACCGCCAGCUAAGGUCCCAAAGUCAUGGUUAAGUGGGAAACGAUGUGGGAAGGCCCAGACAGCCAGGAUGUUGGCUUAGAAGCAGCCAUCAUUUAAAGAAAGCGUAAUAGCUCACUGGUCGAGUCGGCCUGCGCGGAAGAUGUAACGGGGCUAAACCAUGCACCGAAGCUGCGGCAGCGAACGUAUCACCCAAGACAACUUUACGGAGUUGACGAUUGACGGAGCGAAGCGACGUCAAAGCGUUCAUUAAAGUCGAGUUGGCUUAGGGAUACGUUCGUUGGGUAGGGGAGCGUUCUGUAAGCCUGUGAAGGUGUGUCGUGAGGCAUGCUGGAGGUAUCAGAAGUGCGAAUGCUGACAUAAGUAACGAUAAAGCGGGUGAAAAGCCCGCUCGCCGGAAGACCAAGGGUUCCUGUCCAACGUUAAUCGGGGCAGGGUGAGUCGACCCCUAAGGCGAGGCCGAAAGGCGUAGUCGAUGGGAAACGGGUUAAUAUUCCCGUACUUGGUGUUACUGCGAAGGGGGGACGGAGAAGGCUAUGUUGGCCGGGCGACGGUUGUCCCGGUUUAAGCGUGUAGGUGUGUGUUCCAGGUAAAUCCGGUUCACUUUAACACUGAGGCGUGACGACGAGGCACUACGGUGCUGAAGCAACAAAUGCCCUGCUUCCAGGAAAAGCCUCUAAGCAUCAGGUAACAUCAAAUCGUACCCCAAACCGACACAGGUGGUCAGGUAGAGAAUACCAAGGCGCUUGAGAGAACUCGGGUGAAGGAACUAGGCAAAAUGGUGCCGUAACUUCGGGAGAAGGCACGCUGACACGUAGGUGAAGUGAUUUACUCAUGGAGCUGAAGUCAGUCGAAGAUACCAGCUGGCUGCAACUGUUUAUUAAAAACACAGCACUGUGCAAACACGAAAGUGGACGUAUACGGUGUGACGCCUGCCCGGUGCCGGAAGGUUAAUUGAUGGGGUCAGCGCAAGCGAAGCUCCUGAUCGAAGCCCCGGUAAACGGCGGCCGUAACUAUAACGGUCCUAAGGUAGCGAAAUUCCUUGUCGGGUAAGUUCCGACCUGCACGAAUGGCGUAAUGAUGGCCAGGCUGUCUCCACCCGAGACUCAGUGAAAUUGAACUCGCUGUGAAGAUGCAGUGUACCCGCGGCAAGACGGAAAGACCCCGUGAACCUUUACUAUAGCUUGACACUGAACAUUGAGCCUUGAUGUGUAGGAUAGGUGGGAGGCUUUGAAGUGUGGACGCCAGUCUGCAUGGAGCCGACCUUGAAAUACCACCCUUUAAUGUUUGAUGUUCUAACGUGGACCCGUAAUCCGGGUUGCGGACAGUGUCUGGUGGGUAGUUUGACUGGGGCGGUCUCCUCCUAAAGAGUAACGGAGGAGCACGAAGGUUGGCUAAUCCUGGUCGGACAUCAGGAGGUUAGUGCAAUGGCAUAAGCCAGCUUGACUGCGAGCGUGACGGCGCGAGCAGGUGCGAAAGCAGGUCAUAGUGAUCCGGUGGUUCUGAAUGGAAGGGCCAUCGCUCAACGGAUAAAAGGUACUCCGGGGAUAACAGGCUGAUACCGCCCAAGAGUUCAUAUCGACGGCGGUGUUUGGCACCUCGAUGUCGGCUCAUCACAUCCUGGGGCUGAAGUAGGUCCCAAGGGUAUGGCUGUUCGCCAUUUAAAGUGGUACGCGAGCUGGGUUUAGAACGUCGUGAGACAGUUCGGUCCCUAUCUGCCGUGGGCGCUGGAGAACUGAGGGGGGCUGCUCCUAGUACGAGAGGACCGGAGUGGACGCAUCACUGGUGUUCGGGUUGUCAUGCCAAUGGCACUGCCCGGUAGCUAAAUGCGGAAGAGAUAAGUGCUGAAAGCAUCUAAGCACGAAACUUGCCCCGAGAUGAGUUCUCCCUGAGACUUAGAGUCUCCUGAAGGAACGUUGAAGACGACGACGUUGAUAGGCCGGGUGUGUAAGCGCAGCGAUGCGUUGAGCUAACCGGUACUAAUGAACCGUGAGGCUUAACCUUACAACGCCGAAG
This 2450-nucleotide ribosomal RNA is filed under the name Salmonella enterica subsp. enterica serovar Typhimurium. RNAcentral's name for it is "bacterial LSU rRNA". It matches the Rfam family "Bacterial large subunit ribosomal RNA", at positions 593 to 2925 of the family's 2925-position model. The record is from RNAcentral. Lineage: Bacteria; Pseudomonadati; Pseudomonadota; Gammaproteobacteria; Enterobacterales; Enterobacteriaceae.